RNAcentral lists this ribosomal RNA (836 nucleotides) under Ferdinandcohnia humi. Its description in RNAcentral is "bacterial SSU rRNA". It matches the Rfam family "Bacterial small subunit ribosomal RNA", at positions 117 to 936 of the family's 1533-position model. Lineage: Bacteria; Bacillati; Bacillota; Bacilli; Caryophanales; Bacillaceae. The record is from RNAcentral.
GUGGGCAACCUGCCUGUAAGACUGGGAUAACUUCGGGAAACCGGAGCUAAUACCGGAUAACAUAUGAGACCACAUGGUCUUAUAUUAAAAGAUGGCUUUUAGCUAUCACUUACAGAUGGGCCCGCGGCGCAUUAGCUAGUUGGUGAGGUAACGGCUCACCAAGGCGACGAUGCGUAGCCGACCUGAGAGGGUGAUCGGCCACACUGGGACUGAGACACGGCCCAGACUCCUACGGGAGGCAGCAGUAGGGAAUCUUCCGCAAUGGACGAAAGUCUGACGGAGCAACGCCGCGUGAGCGAAGAAGGUCUUCGGAUCGUAAAGCUCUGUUGUUAGGGAAGAACAAGUAUCGUUCGAAUAGGGCGGUACCUUGACGGUACCUAACCAGAAAGCCACGGCUAACUACGUGCCAGCAGCCGCGGUAAUACGUAGGUGGCAAGCGUUAUCCGGAAUUAUUGGGCGUAAAGCGCGCGCAGGCGGUCCUUUAAGUCUGAUGUGAAAGCCCACGGCUCAACCGUGGAGGGUCAUUGGAAACUGGGGGACUUGAGUGCAGAAGAGGAGAGCGGAAUUCCACGUGUAGCGGUGAAAUGCGUAGAGAUGUGGAGGAACACCAGUGGCGAAGGCGGCUCUCUGGUCUGUAACUGACGCUGAGGCGCGAAAGCGUGGGGAGCGAACAGGAUUAGAUACCCUGGUAGUCCACGCCGUAAACGAUGAGUGCUAAGUGUUAGAGGGUUUCCGCCCUUUAGUGCUGCAGCAAACGCAUUAAGCACUCCGCCUGGGGAGUACGGUCGCAAGACUGAAACUCAAAGGAAUUGACGGGGGCCCGCACAAGCGGUGGA